GACGAACGCUGGCGGCGUGCUUAACACAUGCAAGUCGAACGGAAAGGCCCUGCUUUCGUGGUACUCGAGUGUCGAACGGGUGAGUAACACGUGGGUGUUCUGCCCUGCACUUCGUGAUAUGCCUUGGAAACUGUGUCUAAUACCGGGUAUGAGCCAUUUUUAUUGUGAUGGUUGGAAAGUUUUUUCGGUGUAGGAUGAGCUCGCGGCCUAUCAGCUUGUUGGUGGGGUAAUGGCCUACCAAGGCGGCGACUGGUAGCCGGCCUGAGAGGGUGGACGGCCAAAUUGGGAAUGAGAUACGGCCCAGACUCCUACGGGAGGGAGCAGUGGGGAAUAUUGGACAAUGGGCGCAAGCCUGAUGCAGCGACGGCGCGUGGGGGAGGAAGGCCUUCGGGUUGUAAAAUCCUUUCGCUAGGGAAGAAGCUUUUUGUGACGGUACCUAGAUAAGAAGCACCGGCUAACUACGUG
RNAcentral lists this ribosomal RNA (465 nucleotides) under uncultured bacterium. RNAcentral describes it as "partial 16S ribosomal RNA". It matches the Rfam family "Bacterial small subunit ribosomal RNA", at positions 28 to 507 of the family's 1533-position model. The record is from RNAcentral.